GGUCUUGUGGCCCAAUGGCAAGGCGUUUGACUACGAUCUGCAAUAACAAGCAGUAGCACAUCAAAAGAUUGCAGGUUCGAUCCCUGCCAAGAUCA
RNAcentral lists this transfer RNA (95 nucleotides) under Cephalotrichum gorgonifer. RNAcentral describes it as "transfer RNA-Arg(ACG)". It matches the Rfam family "tRNA". From Rfam's summary of the family: Transfer RNA (tRNA) molecules are approximately 80 nucleotides in length. Their secondary structure includes four short double-helical elements and three loops (D, anti-codon, and T loops). The record is from RNAcentral. Lineage: Eukaryota; Fungi; Ascomycota; Sordariomycetes; Microascales; Microascaceae.